AUUGAAGAUUGGUGAUUGUGAUGGCUUUGAUAGCAAGAAUCCUUAUUGAUCUCCAAGUAGAUUGAUUAAAAUUAGAAUUAUAGUUGAAACUUACAUCUAAAUUAGCAAAUUAAUUGAUUUUUAUGAUUUAGAACUCGGAAUUGGGCUUGUGAAUAUUCAAAAUUAGGAUAGAAUGUGAUUUAGAAACAAUGGAAGUAUUAUUUUUGCCAAAAAGGUGCUAAUUCUUGAGUUACAGGUAUUUUCAUCCUUAAAUUCGGAAUUAGGCUUACAGUGAUUGUGAACCCUUGAUCUUGGUUAGGGAUUUUUUGAUUUGGAUGGUAGAGAUGUGGCCGCCACCUUUGGGCCUCCUCCCACCUA
This 357-nucleotide long non-coding RNA is filed under the name Physcomitrium patens. RNAcentral describes it as "long non-coding RNA (PPAT_LNC007087)". The record is from RNAcentral. Lineage: Eukaryota; Viridiplantae; Streptophyta; Bryopsida; Funariales; Funariaceae.